RNAcentral lists this ribosomal RNA (312 nucleotides) under uncultured bacterium. RNAcentral's name for it is "bacterial SSU rRNA". It matches the Rfam family "Bacterial small subunit ribosomal RNA", at positions 28 to 339 of the family's 1533-position model. The record is from RNAcentral.
GACGAACGCUGGCGGCGUGCUUAACACAUGCAAGUCGAGCGAUGAAGCUUCCUUCGGGAAGUGGAUUAGCGGCGGACGGGUGAGUAACACGUGGGCAACCUGCCUCAAAGAGGGGAAUAGCCCUCCGAAAGGAGGAUUAAUACCGCAUAAAGUUAGAGUUUCGCAUGAAACUUUAACCAAAGGAGUAAUCUGCUUUGAGAUGGGCCCGCGUCCCAUUAGAUAGUUGGUAGGUAAAGCCUACCAAGUCAACGAUCGGUAGCCGGACUGAGAGGUUGACCGGCCACAUUGGGACUGAGACACGGCCCAGACUCC